Molecule: ribosomal RNA, 253 nt
Filed under: uncultured bacterium
Lineage: Bacteria
Description: partial 16S ribosomal RNA
Rfam family: Bacterial small subunit ribosomal RNA
Source: RNAcentral
UACGUAGGGGGCAAGCGUUGUCUGGAAUCAUUGGGCGUAAAGCGCGUGUAGGCGGUUCGGUAAGUCUGCUGUGAAAGUCCAGGGCUCAACCCUGGGAUGCCGGUGGAUACUGUCGGGCUAGAGUGCGGAAGAGGCGAGUGGAAUUCCCGGUGUAGCGGUGAAAUGCGCAGAUAUCGGGAGGAACACCGAUGGCGAAGGCAAUCCCCUGGGCCUGCACUGACGCUCAUGCACGAAAGCGUGGGGAGCAAACAGG